This 465-nucleotide ribosomal RNA is filed under the name Vreelandella stevensii. Its description in RNAcentral is "partial 16S ribosomal RNA". It matches the Rfam family "Bacterial small subunit ribosomal RNA", at positions 338 to 795 of the family's 1533-position model. The record is from RNAcentral. Lineage: Bacteria; Pseudomonadati; Pseudomonadota; Gammaproteobacteria; Oceanospirillales; Halomonadaceae.
CCUACGGGAGGCUGCAGUGGGGAAUAUUGGACAAUGUGGGCAACCCUGAUCCAGCCAUGCCGCGUGUGUGAAGAAGGCCCUCGGGUUGUAAAGCACUUUCAGUGAGGAAGAACGCCUGGUGGUUAAUACCCAUCAGGAAAGACAUCACUCACAGAAGAAGCACCGGCUAACUCCGUGCCAGCAGCCGCGGUAAUACGGAGGGUGCGAGCGUUAAUCGGAAUUACUGGGCGUAAAGCGCGCGUAGGUGGCUUGAUAAGCCGGUUGUGAAAGCCCCGGGCUCAACCUGGGAACGGCAUCCGGAACUGUCAAGCUAGAGUGCAGGAGAGGAAGGUAGAAUUCCCGGUGUAGCGGUGAAAUGCGUAGAGAUCGGGAGGAAUACCAGUGGCGAAGGCGGCCUUCUGGACUGACACUGACACUGAGGUGCGAAAGCGUGGGUAGCAAACAGGAUUAGAUACCCUUGUAGUC